UGGGGGAUAUUGCACAAUGGGCGAAAGCCUGAUGCAGCGACGCCGCGUGGGGGAUGAAGGCUUUCGGGUUGUAAACCUCUUUCGCUAUCGAACAAGGCCCGCUUAGGGUGGGUUGAGGGUAGGUGGAGAAGAAGCGCCGGCUAACUACGUGCCAGCAGCCGCGGUAAUACGUAGGGCGCGAGCGUUGUCCGGAAUUAUUGGGCGUAAAGGGCUUGUAGGCGGCUUGUUGCGCCUGCUGUGAAAACGCGGGGCGUAACUUCGCGCGUGCAGUGGGUACGGGCAGGCGUGAGUGUGGUAGGGGUGACUGGAAUUCCAGGUGUAGCGGUGGAAUGCGCAGAUAUCUGGAGGAACACCGAUGGCGAAGGCAGGUCACUGGGCCAUUACUGACGCUGAGGAGCGAAAGCAUGGGUAGCGAACAGG
RNAcentral lists this ribosomal RNA (420 nucleotides) under bacterium. Its description in RNAcentral is "partial 16S ribosomal RNA". It matches the Rfam family "Bacterial small subunit ribosomal RNA", at positions 355 to 776 of the family's 1533-position model. The record is from RNAcentral.